Molecule: ribosomal RNA, 420 nt
Filed under: uncultured eukaryote
Lineage: Eukaryota
Description: SSU rRNA
Rfam family: Eukaryotic small subunit ribosomal RNA
Source: RNAcentral
CAAUAGCGUAUAUUUAAGUUGUUGCAGUUAAAAAGCUCGUAGUUGGAUUUCGGAUGGGCUUGACCGGUCCGCCGUUUGGUGUGCACUGGUCGUGCCUAUCUUGCUGUCGGGGACGCGCUCCUGGCCUUAAUUGGCUGGGACGCGGAGUCGGCGAUGUUACUUUGAAAAAUUAGAGUGUUCAAAGCAGGCCUAAGCUCUGAAUACAUUAGCAUGGAAUAACGCUAUAGGACUCUGGUCUUAUUGCGUUGGUCUUCGAGACCGGAGUAAUGAUUAAGAGGGACAGUUGGGGGCAUUCAUAUUCCAUUGUCAGAGGUGAAAUUCUUGGAUUAACGGAAGAUGAACUUCUGCGAAAGCAUCUGCCAAGGAUGUUUUCAUUGAUCAAGAACGAAAGUUAGGGGAUCGAAGAUGAUCAGAUACCAU